This 305-nucleotide ribosomal RNA is filed under the name uncultured bacterium. RNAcentral describes it as "bacterial SSU rRNA". It matches the Rfam family "Bacterial small subunit ribosomal RNA", at positions 28 to 333 of the family's 1533-position model. The record is from RNAcentral.
GUUGAACGCUGGCGGCGUGCUUAACACAUGCAAGUCGAGCGGUAACAGGCGUAGCAAUACGUGCUGACGAGCGGCGAACGGGUGCGUAAUACAUCGGAAUCUGCCUCGUAGUGGGGAAUAACCCGGCGAAAGCCGGGCUAAUGCCGCAUACGAUCCACGGAUGAAAGCGGGGGACCUUCGGGCCUCGCGCUAUGAGAUGAGCCGAUGUCGGAUUAGCUAGUUGGNGAGGUAACGGCUCACCAAGGCGACGAUCCGUAGCUGGUCUGAGAGGACGGCCAGCCACACUGGGACUGAGACACGGCCCA